RNAcentral lists this ribosomal RNA (497 nucleotides) under uncultured Flavobacteriales bacterium. RNAcentral's name for it is "bacterial SSU rRNA". It matches the Rfam family "Bacterial small subunit ribosomal RNA", at positions 8 to 499 of the family's 1533-position model. The record is from RNAcentral. Lineage: Bacteria; Pseudomonadati; Bacteroidota; Flavobacteriia; Flavobacteriales.
AGGCUUUGAUCCUGGCUCAGGAUGAACGCUAGCGGCAGGCCUAACACAUGCAAGUCGAGGGGCAGCACGAUGUAGCAAUACAUUGGUGGCGACCGGCGCACGGGUGCGUAACGCGUAUGCAACUACCCUUUACUGGGAAAUAACUUCGAGAAAUCGAAGCUAAUGUCCCAUAAUAUUCAGAUAAGGCAUCUUGUUUGAAUUAAAGCUCCGGCGGUAAAGGAUGGGCAUGCGUUCUAUUAGCUAGUUGGUGAGGUAACGGCUCACCAAGGCGACGAUAGAUAGGGGUCCUGAGAGGGUGAUCCCCCACACUGGUACUGAGACACGGACCAGACUCUACGGGAGGCAGCAGUGAGGAAUAUUGGGCAAUGGACGCAAGUCUGACCCAGCCAUGCCGCGUGCAGGAAGACGGUCCUAUGGAUUGUAAACUGCUUUUGUAUGAGAAGAAACCCCUGGACGUGUCCAAAGCUGACGGUAUCAUACUGAAUAAGCACCGGCUA